CAGUCACCACAUCACAAGUGCAGUGAGGAUACAAUUGACAUAGAGAUGAAAGAUAUAUACAGAAUAUGUGGAAUGUUAAUUUCAGGGAAAAACAAUAAGGGGAAAAACCAGGAGAAGAGACAAGCCAAAAAUGAGACCAGUAAUUGAUGUGAAGAUGAAGGGCUGUUUCAGUGAUAGUGCUGAACUAUGAUUAGAACGAGCUCGACGAUGAAUUAUUCCUUUUGGCACCUUCAUAUCAUCCACUAUAAAUUCCUUGUUUUCUACUAAUUCAUACUUAUUUCCAUCUUUGUGCGAACUGACUCUAACAAGAGUAGUGUCCGCAACAUUUUCUUGCUUUUCGACAGCUUUGCUUUUGUUUGUUGAUGCAUGAGAAAUUUCAGAAGCAGCUGCACUUGUUAAAGCUACAGCGCAUAAUAAAAUAACAAAACAAAGAGGGAAACUAAACUUCAUCUUUCUUACUAAUUGGAGCAAAAUACCUGUAAUAGUACUCUCAGUGAUCUUUCCUUAAUUUUCCUGUUUGGGCUGGCUGAGUGUAUAAGAGGGUGUGUAUAUAUAUAUAUAGGAGAUCUUCCUCAGGAUUGUAUAUUAUUCUUUUCUUUACCUUCUUUCUUAAUCUCCAUCCACCUUAAUUUUAGAGCAUAGAUGCCCAACCCCACAAAUGGAACCAAAACAUUGCUCUCCUUAAAAGCUUAUAUAAACCAACAACAACAUAACAAGUAUAAUCACACAACACAAGCAGUAGCGGAUCCAGAAUUUUUAUCAAGGGGUGUCAAAAUAUAAAUAAUUAGAUAUAUCGAAAAGUCAAGGGAAAU
Molecule: long non-coding RNA, 812 nt
Filed under: Nicotiana tabacum (common tobacco)
Lineage: Eukaryota; Viridiplantae; Streptophyta; Magnoliopsida; Solanales; Solanaceae
Description: long non-coding RNA (NTAB_LNC008982)
Source: RNAcentral